Molecule: long non-coding RNA, 1179 nt
Organism: Canis lupus familiaris (dog)
Lineage: Eukaryota; Metazoa; Chordata; Mammalia; Carnivora; Canidae
Exons: 6
Source: RefSeq, a predicted model, not a curated record
UGCCCGGUAGCAGCUCUUUGAUCUCACAGAGGUCUGGUAAAAUUGGGUCAUCCAGACUUGAAAAUCAGGACAUAACUGUCACACACAUGCAAAAUUCCAAACAGAACAAACUAAGCCCAAACCUCGAACAUGCUGGCUCCCAUUUAAUCUUAGGCAGUUGAUACAUUAUUUUUAGUCACACCUUAAUUUCUGUUCUUUAAAGAUGAUUAGCCUUUUGUCCCAUUUAACAGCUAAAAUCGUCAGCUUUAUGAUUUCCUGAAAGCAGCAUCCAGAGGUGCAAGGCUGGCUGAAUUCCAAAAUUAUGGUGCAUGUUGACCCUCUCUUUUGCCUGAUUAUGUGUGGCUUGGAGUCUAACUCCUACCAAUCCGCUGGAUGCUAAGUUUGUGUGGGCAAGUGCCUCACUCAGGAGCCAGCCUACGGAGACGAAAUCACUGCUACCUGGUGAAUUUCCAAGGGUACAGAAAGCAGAAGGCUCAAGGCUCAGAGAAAACAUGGAGCCCAAACAUGGUCUGUAUCAUUACCACUCGAAGCAAGGUUCGAGGACCAGUAGCACUGGCAUCGCCUAGGAGAUUGUGAGAAAUUCAGCAUCUCAGGCUCCAUCUCAGACCUACUGAAUCAGAAUCCACAUUUUAACAAGAUUGCUUGGUGUUCUGUGUGCACGGUGAAGUUGGAAGAAGUUUGGAAGUUUGGUUGCCACGAGACUGAGGUUUUCUUCUCACCUGCUGCCGGCUGGGCCAUUCUAGCUCACUCUGUGCACCUGUCAUCACACAUUCUCCACCCCAGUCUGCAUUCUCAUCAUUGUUACCCUCACCUGCCAUGGGGCCAGGAUGUGGCCAUGCAUUCGUUGUCACACAUGACACUGGCCACAGAGGAGAAAACCAGCCUGGGCUGAUGUCACGGACAUAAGCCACAGGAGACUGUCAGAGCCUGGUGACCGGGCUCCUAAUCCAGUGCUCACAUGGUUCUCGGCAGCAAGAAUUCAGAGCCUGGAGCUCCGCUGAAGCAGCAUUCCCUGCGAGAACCACUGCAAGGGGAAUCAAUCCCUCAAGACCACGGAGUGGCCAAAGCACUCCGUGAUUCAAAACAAUUCGAGCCUGCGGAGGAUUUUCAGUAAGCAUGGUGAAAGUUCUCUUUUUUAUUGCUAGGAAUUUCCCAGCUUUCAACACAUUCUCCCUUACG